CCAAAGUGCUGGAAUUACAGGCGUGAGCCACUGUGCCUGGCCCAGCCUGCAUAUUUUCUAAAAAUCAACUCAAAUAUCCAUUUGUUUAAAAGACUAUUUAAAUAUUUUUGGUACAUAGCAUAUACUUGCUUGAUAUUUGGCUAAAGGGAUGUCCACAUGAAAUCGAGGCUCACGAUUAUCUUGAGAAGAGCCACUCUUUAAAAGCAAUUAAAUAGAAAAAUGGAAGAUAAUCAUGUGAUGCUAGUCAAGCCCUCUUCCCUUCCUAGAUGGCUGCACUGGGUAGACAGAGAUUCUUGGUAUGUUAGGGCAGUAACUGUGUUCAAGGAGGAAAAUAGGUACUAGCCUGUCAGUCUAGUAGAGGAGAUGGCUGAAAGAGAUAAUACAUCUCAGUUCAUGGGUCUGCCUUAAAUAAGAACUCUGGAGCUAUCCCUGUGUCCCAAGGAAUUAAUCUCUCUAUUUCAGUAUGUGUGUUCUGAUCAACUCAUUGUAGCUAUUAUUCAUCUCCAGCUAUCAAUUGGAUCACUUGAGGUCAUCUCUGUAUCUGGAAUGGUAAGUCUGGGUAGGCAAAGUGCCUUUAAGUGAAUUCUACACUCAGAUAUGGGUAAAAUGAUCUAAAGAUUCCUAAGUCAGUUUGAAAAUAGAGGUUGGGAUGGAGGGAUUUCUGACUCCUUGUAGGAUCUGGGGCUCCCUGAUGCCAGAAGUAUCUCUCUGGUUUUGUGAAUUCUGGCUUCUAAAGAGAUAGCAUCUAAGUUCCCACUGCAACCUAGCUUCUCCCUUUAUCUUAGGUGUCAUACAAGAAGGGUCUUGGCGGUGGUCUGACCUGCCAUGGACUGUCCAUCUGCCCGGACUACAGCGAGACAAUUUUUCCAAGCUUCCAAGGAGCCAAGCUGAAGAAAGAGUGAAACAAUGGAGGCGCCUUUCUUUCUUGAUCUUGGGAGAAGGUAUUAAACUAGAACUCAGAAGAUCUGGGCUGCUACUUUCUAGUUCGUCACCUCAUGCAGGAUAUGUAGCUUUUGCAAAUCUUGACUUUCCAAAUUUCAAAUGAAGCUCGUGAUUUGUGUCUUGAGUACAUAGGGACUUGCUAUGAGCAUUAACAGAGAUUACGAAUGCAAAGCACUUUGCUUAUCAUUAAUUUUUUUUUCUUUUUUUUUUUUUUUUUUUGAGACUGAGUCUCUCUCUGUUGCCCAGGCUGGAGUGCAGUGGCACCAUCUCGGCUCACUGCAACCUUCGCUUCCCAGAUUCAAGCGAUUCUCCUGCCUCAGCCUUGCAAGUAGCUGGGACUACAGGUGCACACUACCACGCCCAGCUAAUUUUUGUAUUUUUAGUAGAGACAUUGGCUAGGAUGGUUUUGAUCUCUUGACCUCGUGAUGCACCUACCUAGGCCUCCCACAGGCGGGAGCCACCAAGCAGGCUGCUUAGCAUUAAUGUUUUUAACAAAAUAAUGAGUAGAGCUACAUGGCAGAUUCAAUUCUGAUUCUGUGUUAUAUGCUUGAUCUGUAGCUAUGCCUCAGCAGCUUUGCACAGCAUAGGGGCACAGAUGCUUUCUUCUUAUUGUGACUUACAUGGAUUCAAAUUGUAGGUGACAGAAAAAUGUUGGUAUUACAUGUCAAACACAAAGGCAAAUAGAAUAAAAAGGUUAUAAUCAAGCUGUAAGCUGCACGCUCUAUUCAGUCUUCUUUCUCUCUGAAAUAUGUCAACUACUAUUUCCUGAGAUAUGAGGCACUUGAUGAUUGAGAUGAUUAAAAAAUACAUCCACCCGAAGUAAGCAUCAAUUACACAAAUUUACUAAUAAGAAACAAUCAAAUAUGCCUCCACAUGAAUGCACACAACACACACACACAUAAACAGAUUGUUAUGAAUUAUUCUCCAGAUUUCUACUUGUCACUAUUUUAUUAGGUAUACAAAGAAUAUUUUAUAUAUCACUUUGCUCUGGGAUUGAGAAACUUUUGCUUUAAGGUUUUAUUUUAUUUUAUGGUUAGAAAAGAAGGGUCAUUGAACUAUUAUAAACCAGUGAUGUUUCUAGAGUUUUCCUCCAAUUUCAUCAAAGAAGGAGAAACAGAUAUAGUGACCUAACACGUAGUUUUUAGAAACUGUUGUUACAGAGUUAAGAGCUGAAACUUUCACAAGUUUUUAAAACCAACAAACAAGCACAAGAAAAUAUAAUAUUUUCUAUACAAGGUAUUCUGAUGAUAUAAUAGUUUUAUAUUCAUUCAUCUUAUUAAUCAAAGAUGGAAGUAAACAAAAGAGGUCAUAGAUGUUUUUGCUAAUAAAAAAGAGAGGGAGUUCCUUACUUUCAUUAUUUAAUGUUAAUAAUAAUCAUAAUUGGAAAAAAAAAAACCCAUAGAUUCGAAGUUAAGUGGCUUGCCCAAGGUCAGGUUUACCAAAAUAUCAUUUAUUCUAUAUUCAAAGGUCUUUCACUCAAAAGACUCAUUACCUG
This 2437-nucleotide long non-coding RNA is filed under the name Homo sapiens (human). RNAcentral's name for it is "HSALNT0178945". The record is from RNAcentral. Lineage: Eukaryota; Metazoa; Chordata; Mammalia; Primates; Hominidae.